UACAGCCAUAUCACGUGAAAACACCAGUUCCCGUAUGUUCACCAAAGUUAAGCAAUGUCAAGACUGGUCACUACCUAGCUGGGUGACUGCUUGGGAAUAACAAGUGCU
This is a non-coding RNA of Acanthosepion pharaonis, 108 nucleotides long. Lineage: Eukaryota; Metazoa; Mollusca; Cephalopoda; Sepiida; Sepiidae. The record is from the annotation of a GenBank genome assembly.